Oncorhynchus tshawytscha (Chinook salmon) is the source of this 1072-nucleotide long non-coding RNA. The record is from Ensembl. NCBI's taxonomy places the organism in Eukaryota, Metazoa, Chordata, Actinopteri, Salmoniformes, Salmonidae.
GGGACCAGACAGGAAGAGAUGGAGGUGGUAAUGUUGUUUUCUAUGGGACCAGACAGGAAGAGGUGGUAAUGUUGUUUUCUAUGGGACCAGACAGGAAGAGAGAUGGUAAUGUUGUUUUCUAUGGGACCAGACAGGAAGAGAGAUGGUAAUGUUGUUUUCUAUGGGACCAGACAGGAAGAGAUGGUAAUGUUGUUUUCUAUGGGACCAGACAGGAAGAGAUGGUAAUGUUGUUUUCUAUGGUACCAGACAGGAAGAGAUGGUAAUGUUGUUUUCUUCUGUGAUGAAAUGUAAAGUGCCUUCGGAAAGUAUACAGACCCCUUGACUUUUUCCACAUUUUGUUACGUAACAACCUUAUUCUAAAAUUGAUUUUAAAAAAUUGUUUCCUCAAUCACAAUACCUCAUAAUGACAAAGAAAAAACGGGUUUUUAGACAUUUUUGCUAAUUUAUUCAAAAUAAACUGAAAUAUCAUACUUACACAAGUAUUCAGACCCUUUACUCAGCACUUUGUUGAAGCACCUUUAGCAGCGAUUACAGCCUCCAGUCUUCAUCGGUAUGAAGGUAACUUGGCACACCUGUAUUUGGGGAGUUUCUCCCAUUCUUCUCUGCAGAUCCAAGCUAUGUCAGGAUCGAUGGGGAGCGUCGCUGCACAGCUAUUUUCAGGUCUCCAGAGAUGUUCGAUCGGGUUGGUGCCAGAUUUCCUCCAGACGUGACACUUGGCAUUCUGGCUAAAGAGUUCAAUCUUGGUUUCAUCAGACCAGAGAAUCUUGUUUCUCAUGGUCAGAGUCCUUUCGGUGCAUUUUGGUAAACUCUAAUGUAAAUAUAAAUAAGGUAUUUCUGUUUUGUAUUUGUUUUUACAUUUGCCCAAAAUAAAAAUAAAAACAGUUUUUGCUUUGUCAUUAUGGGGUAUUGUGUGUAGAUUGCUGAGGAUUUUUAUUUAUUUAAUCAAUUUUUGAAUAAGGCUAUAACAUAACAAAAUGUGGAAAAAGUCCAGGUGUCUGAAUACAUUCCAAAGGCACUGUGUACUUCCUAAAUGUCACCCUGUUCCCUUUAUAGUACACUACUUUUGACCAGG